CCUACGGGGGGCAGCAGUGGGGAAUAUUGGACAAUGGGGGCAACCCUGAUCCAGCCAUGCCGCGUGUGUGAAGAGGGCCCUCGGGUUGUAAAGCACUUUCAGUGAGGAAGAACGCCUGGUGGUUAAUACCCAUCAGGAAAGACAUCACUCACAGAAGAAGCACCGGCUAACUCCGUGCCAGCAGCCGCGGUAAUACGGAGGGUGCGAGCGUUAAUCGGAAUUACUGGGCGUAAAGCGCGCGUAGGUGGCUUGAUAAGCCGGUUGUGAAAGCCCCGGGCUCAACCUGGGAACGGCAUCCGGAACUGUCAAGCUAGAGUGCAGGAGAGGAAGGUAGAAUUCCCGGUGUAGCGGUGAAAUGCGUAGAGAUCAGGAGGAAUACCAGUGGCGAAGGCGGCCUUCUGGACUGACACUGACACUGAGGUGCGAAAGCGUGGGUAGCAAACAGGAUUAGAUACCCUAGUAGUC
This 465-nucleotide ribosomal RNA is filed under the name Vreelandella stevensii. RNAcentral's name for it is "partial 16S ribosomal RNA". It matches the Rfam family "Bacterial small subunit ribosomal RNA", at positions 338 to 795 of the family's 1533-position model. Lineage: Bacteria; Pseudomonadati; Pseudomonadota; Gammaproteobacteria; Oceanospirillales; Halomonadaceae. The record is from RNAcentral.